ACUAUAAAAAGUGAUGAAUAUUCUACUGGGGAGAAUAAGGCUAGCGGAUCUCCCGAGCUCAGGAGUUCUGAGCUGUAGUGAGCUAAGUCAAAUGGAUGUCCACAUAAGUCUGGCAUCAGCACAGUGAGCUCCUGGGAGCAGGAGGCCACUGCGCUGCAUAAGAAGGGAGUAAAAUAACACAGAUUGGAAAUGAAGAAGGUCAAAGCUCAUAUACCAUUCAGUUGUAGUACUGGGCCUAGAAGUGGCUACUAUACUUCCAGCCUAGGCAAUAUGGAAAGACCUAGUCUCC
Molecule: signal recognition particle RNA, 289 nt
Filed under: Phascolarctos cinereus (koala)
Lineage: Eukaryota; Metazoa; Chordata; Mammalia; Diprotodontia; Phascolarctidae
Description: Metazoan signal recognition particle RNA (ENSPCIG00000036883.1)
Rfam family: Metazoan signal recognition particle RNA (bases 38-287)
About the family: The signal recognition particle (SRP) is a universally conserved ribonucleoprotein. It is involved in the co-translational targeting of proteins to membranes.
Source: RNAcentral